Theobroma cacao (cacao) is the source of this 2637-nucleotide non-coding RNA. NCBI's taxonomy places the organism in Eukaryota, Viridiplantae, Streptophyta, Magnoliopsida, Malvales, Malvaceae. The record is from RefSeq and is a predicted model, not a curated record.
CUUUCUCUUCUUUAUUUUUGCUCCCUUCUAAUUGUCCACUGCCCCUGGCAGCAGCGGCCAACCCCUUUCUCUAUACCCUCUCUCUCUUACUCGGUUCCCGGCGCCGUCGCCUCACCGGCCUGGGCCUUUCCAGCAGUGGCUCCCUUUUUCUUUCCCUUUCCUCUUUUCUUCUCUUCCCUUUCCUUCUGCUGCUAGUUUCCUCUCUUUCUAAAAAAGACUAGCCACCGUUGUCUCCUUCCCUCUAACAACUGUAUAAAUACCUCGAAAUCUACCCUAUCCGUAUCACCCACCUCUCUGUCUCCCAAAAGAAAAACAUAUUUUUCUUCGUCUCUCUCUGAUAAUCCAUUGAAUCAGAUCAAGAACGAACUGCUCCAUGUUGAUGCCAAUUACCAACCACGAGCUGCCAGAAAUCAUGGUGAUCGACAUCCUUUUAAGGCUUCCUGUUAAAUCCCUUAUGAGAUUUAGGUGCGUUUGUAAAUCCUGGUGCUCUUCUUUUCAGACUUCUGAAUUUAUCACCAACCAUAAAAACAAAAAUCUCAAUCUCCUUUUAAUGCUUCAUGAUGAGGUCCCUUACUUCUCCUUGCUUUCAACUGAAGCGAAAAUUAAGGAAUAUGGUGAACCCGAGGUCGAGUUUAAUCUGAAAGUCAAAGAGAAUAUUCAUAUGCUUGACUUUGAUCAACUCACAGUCUCUGGUCCAUGUAAUGGCUUGCUUUGUGUGCAUGAUAAUUAUAGCAUUAUCCUUUGGAAUCCUUCCACAAGAGAAGUUAAGGUUCUUCCUGAAUCCACUAUCUCACGUCCUCCUGCCACAGAUGACACUUAUUUUGGCUUUGUCGGGUUCGGGUUUGAUCGCAACUCAAAUGACUACAAGGUUUUAAGGUGUGUUAACAAUUGUGUCCUUGAAGAAGAUGGAUUUGCUGUGUUGGAAUUUAUAUAUCAAAUUGAUUUAUACAGCCUCAGGACGGAUUCCUGGAGAGAAAUUGCUCAUCCUGACGUCUUUGUUUACGAUCCUUAUUUGUUUAACGCUUAUAUAAAUGGAAUUUACUAUUGGGAAGCGAUGGGUGAUGAUGGUGAUCUAAUCCUUUCUUUUGACAUGGUUGAAGAAGUUUUCUCGACAUUAUCCUUACCGAAUUUCGGUAUGUCUAAAGCUGAGUGUUCGUGGUGUAUUGCUUCCUUUAAUGAAGCUCUUGCUACAAUUGUUCAUCCAAGAAUAGGCAUGGAAAAAUGCUAUGAUAUAUGGAUCUUGAAUGGAUAUUCGUGGACUAAACAACUUACCAUCGGACCUAUUCUUGGAGUUGAGAUGCCGUUGGGAUUCUGGAAGAAUGGAGAAUUGUUUCUGGAAAGUGAAAACCACAAACUAGUCAUGUUUGAUCCCUGCACGGGACAGCUUCGAGAUUUUGGAAUCUACAUGAGUCAGGACUCAACGCAGCAGCUAGUUGUUUAUGCUGAAAGCAUUGUUUCAAUCAGGGGAAGUUUAGAGUAUGAGGCAAAUAUAACUCGUGAAGUGCAGGUGCAAAAGAGUACUUUGAGAAGGCCGCUUAUAAUAAGGAUGCUGGCCAGUACUAUAACUUGGGGGUAAUGUACCUUAGAGGGAUUGGAGUGAAGAAAGAUGUGAAGAUUGCUUGUAAAUGUUUUAUUGUGGCAGCUAAUGCAGGUCAAACAAAGCCAUUUUAUCAGUUGGCUAGGAUGUUUAAAAAGAAUCUUCCUAUGAUCCCAUGUACUUGAAUCAUACCAAAAAGGUGACGUGGGCAAGGCAUUCCUCUUGUAUUCUAGGAUGGCUGAGCGAGGCUAUGAGAUAGCACAAAGUAAUGCUGCAUGGAUCCUUGACAAGUAUGGUGAGCACAACAUGUGGAUGGAUGAAUCUGGGCUUUGCACUGAUGCAGAAAGGCAUCAACGCGCUCAUUCUUUGUCAUGGCAAGCUUCUGAGCAGGAGUCAAAGACAUAAUAUCUGUUCGAGCUGGUCUUAAAAACUUCCAUGAGAUGGAUAUUUGAAGUUCUCUCACUCUUACCCUAAGCAUAGAGAGCGAAAAACUUUCAGCCUCAUCGUAUAAGAACAAAGCUUUGUUACCUGAAGGAUGAUGAUCUUGAUCCCAUAUGGUGGAAGUCAAUGUUCCUUAAAUUCUCUCUGAAGAAUAAAGGUACAACUUCGAAAAGCCUCAAAAAUCUGUCAAUUAAGAGAAUAUGGCGGUAUCAUGAAAUUUAUUCAAGUUUCCUUCUUAGGGUCCUAACUGUCAUCUCCAUCAAGAUUUCUAAGAGCUAAGGUUGCUGCAAAGGAAGCUGUUUUAGGAGAACUUCUAGGGAGUACCAAGUAAUGCCUCUUCUGCAAUAUAUUCUUAUCCACAUGGCAGCAAACUAUUUUGGAAUUCUGAUUGGUGAUGUUUGUCCAAUCUCCUCUCCUGUUCCCCUUCGGCUUCUUGCUUUGUGUUUGUUCAGAAUUUGAUUUCUACUUCCUUUUUAUGGUUGUUCUGUUUUGUGUCUCCAUUUGUUUAUAGUUUUCUUUGUGCCAUGUUCCUGUCUCUUGGGGCUGAACUUUGUGCUCUUCGGAUGUUGUUUUUGUUUCUAGGUUUUGCUAUCUUUGUUUCUUUGUCAGUUACUUUGGUCCUGUUUUCUAUUCAAUAAUAGAAUGCCAUUCAAAAAAUA